AGCAUUUAUACUGCGAAACUGCGAAUGGCUCAUUAAAUCAGUUAUCGUUUAUUUGAUAGUACCUUACUACUUGGAUAACCGUGGUAAUUCUAGAGCUAAUACAUGCUAAAAAUCCCGACUUACGGAGGGAUGUAUUUAUUAGAUUAAAAACCAAUGCCCUUCGGGGCUCUUUGGUGAUUCAUAAUAACUUCUCGAAUCGCAUGGCCUUGCGCUGGCGAUGGUUCAUUCAAAUUUCUGCCCUAUCAACUUUCGAUGGCAGGGUCUUGGCCUGCCAUGGUUACAACGGGUAACGGAGGGUUAGGGCUCGACCCCGGAGAAGGAGCCUGAGAAACGGCUACUACAUCCAAGGAAGGCAGCAGGCGCGCAAAUUACCCAAUCCCGAUACGGGGAGGUAGUGACAAUAAAUACUGAUACAGGGCUCUUUUGGGUCUUGUAAUUGGAAUGAGUACAAUUUAAAUCCCUUAACGAGGAACAAUUGGAGGGCAAGUCUGGUGAACAUCUGCUGGUGCCAGAAAUAGUGGGAUGCCCUUAUAAAAACUCACUAGUCGAGCAUUCGUCAGUGGCGGGUGAAUGUCGGCGAGACAACCUGGAUCGAGGAAGGCUAAAGGCUUUAAACGGCCUAUGCUGAUCUCGAGCGGAGUUACCCUGUAGUUACCCUAUAGGCGUGGCCCGUGUAGAGCGCGGAAAGGUGUCGGUCUUACCCUGUAAGGCUUAAGGAACGUGCCAGUCCCUACAGAAAUGUAGGCCAGAUAUCCAAGCGCCCGCCGCGUGAAGGUAUUUGGGGUAUUGUAAAUCUGACAAUACCGUAUCGCAGUGGGGUUCUUACUUAGUAAGGCCCACCGUACAAAAUAACGGCCAGCAGCCGCGGUAAUUCCAGCUCCAAUAGCGUAUAUUAAAGUUGUUGCAGUUAAAAAGCUCGUAGUUGAACCUUGGGCCUGGCUGGCCGGUCCGCCUCACCGCGUGCACUGGUUCGGCCGGGCCUUUCCCUCUGGGGAACCCUAUGCCCUUCACUGGGUGUAGCGGGGAACCAGGACUUUUACUGUGAAAAAAUUAGAGUGUUCAAAGCAGGCCUAUGCUCGAAUACAUCAGCAUGGAAUAUAGGAAUAGGACGUGUGGUUCUAUUUUGUUGGUUUCUAGGACCGCCGUAAUGAUUAAAAGGGACAGUCGGGGGCAUCAGUAUUCAAUUGUCAAAGGUGAAAUUCUUGGAUUUAUUGAAAACUAACUACUGCGAAAGCAUUUUGCAAGGAGUUUUCCUUUAUUCCGGAACCAAAAUUAGGGGGAUCA
This 1284-nucleotide ribosomal RNA is filed under the name Hypoxylon teeravasati. Its description in RNAcentral is "SSU rRNA". It matches the Rfam family "Eukaryotic small subunit ribosomal RNA", at positions 68 to 1001 of the family's 1831-position model. The record is from RNAcentral. Lineage: Eukaryota; Fungi; Ascomycota; Sordariomycetes; Xylariales; Hypoxylaceae.